AACCAUCCUUGCCAAAAGCCAGAAUAGACAUCCUAUGCUGUGUUUACCCUUAUUAUUUGCUGGGAUCCCAAUAUCAACAUACCGCAUUGGUGAAUCAGUGUCACAAAAGGCAAUUGUAGGAAUGUUUCCAAGGGCAGCUUCCUUGAUGGGCUGAUGAUCUGUUCUAGGAUCAGUCAGUAUCAGAAGACGCGGCUCAUUGAAUGAGGUCUGAAGCUGGUUAGUGAAGGUUCCAGGGGUGUGCCUCCCGGCUAUAGCAUGUGCACCAGUGUGUUGAGCGAACUUUAAGACAGCCCUCUGACCAUAAGGUCUUGCAGACUGAACAAUGAUGUCUUGUGGAUUCUCAAUACCAACGAUGACUCUAGCAGCCAGCUGAAGUUUCUCCCAU
Molecule: unclassified non-coding RNA, 385 nt
Filed under: Hevea brasiliensis (rubber tree)
Lineage: Eukaryota; Viridiplantae; Streptophyta; Magnoliopsida; Malpighiales; Euphorbiaceae
Source: RNAcentral